Molecule: ribosomal RNA, 272 nt
Filed under: unidentified marine bacterioplankton
Lineage: Bacteria
Description: partial 16S ribosomal RNA
Rfam family: Bacterial small subunit ribosomal RNA
Source: RNAcentral
UAACACAUGCAAGUCGAACGCGGAAGAAUCUCUCGGGAUUUUGAAGAAGUGGCGAACGGGUGAGGAACACGUAAGAAUCUACCUUUCGGUUGGGAUAACUUCUGGAAACGGGAGCUAAUACCCAAUAUGCUGUGGAGUGAAAGAAUUUCGCCGAAGGACGAUCUUGCGUCUGAUUAGCUAGUUGGGGUGGUAAUGGCACACCAAGGCGACGAUCAGUAGCUGGUCUGAGAGGAUGGACAGCCACAUUGGGACUGAGACACGGCCCAGACUCC